GAUGAACGCUGGCGGCGUGCCUAAUACAUGCAAGUCGAGCGAACGGACGAGAAGCUUGCUUCUCUGAUGUUAGCGGCGGACGGGUGAGUAACACGUGGAUAACCUACCUAUAAGACUGGGAUAACUUCGGGAAACCGGAGCUAAUACCGGAUGAUAUUUUGAACCGCAUGGUUCAAAAGUGAAAGACGGUCUUGCUGUCACUUAUAGAUGGAUCCGCGCUGCAUUAGCUAGUUGGUAAGGUAACGGCUUACCAAGGCAACGAUGCAUAGCCGACCUGAGAGGGUGAUCGGCCACACUGGAACUGAGACACGGUCCAGACUCCUACGGGAGGCAGCAGUAGGGAAUCUUCCGCAAAGGGCGAAAGCCUGACGGAGCAACGCCGCGUGAGUGAUGAAGAUCUUCGUAUCGUAAAACUCUGUUAUUAGGGAAGAACAUAUGUGUAAGUAACUGUGCACAUCUUGACGGUACCUAAUCAGAAAGCCACGGCUAACUACGUG
This 497-nucleotide ribosomal RNA is filed under the name uncultured bacterium. RNAcentral describes it as "partial 16S ribosomal RNA". It matches the Rfam family "Bacterial small subunit ribosomal RNA", at positions 28 to 507 of the family's 1533-position model. The record is from RNAcentral.